RNAcentral lists this long non-coding RNA (207 nucleotides) under Fukomys damarensis (Damara mole-rat). Its description in RNAcentral is "lncRNA (ENSFDAG00000027324.1)". Lineage: Eukaryota; Metazoa; Chordata; Mammalia; Rodentia; Bathyergidae. The record is from RNAcentral.
AGGUUUUUGUAGCUGUUAUGGUUGCCAUACCAAAAUGCAUCUUUGUUGUUUCAGGUGAUGGUGCCUAUCCAGCAGUAAAACAGCUGCGGUGUUGAACUUCUUGGGGCCAGGAACUGUGUCUGCAAACACGUCCAGUUGGUAACACAAAAGUGAGUUCACAACGUGUUCUAACCUUCGCUCUCCUUGGGUCCUGAUACCUGAUACAGU